AGAGUUUGAUCCUGGCUCAGAACGAACGCUGGCGGCAUGCCUAACACAUGCAAGUCGAACGGGCAGGGGCAACCCUGUCAGUGGCGGACGGGUGAGUAACGCGUGGGGACCUGCCUCGAAGUUCGGAAUAACCGCGGGAAACUGCGGCUAAUACCGGAUGUGGCCUGAGGGCCAAAGGGGAAACUCGCUUCGAGAGGGGCCCGCGUCCGAUUAGCUAGUUGGUGAGGUAACGGCUCACCAAGGCGACGAUCGGUAGCUGGUCUGAGAGGAUGAUCAGCCACACUGGGACUGAGACACGGCCCAGACUCCUACGGGAGGCAGCAGUGGGGAAUAUUGGACAAUGGGGGCAACCCUGAUCCAGCAAUGCCGCGUGAGUGAUGAAGGCCUUCGGGUUGUAAAGCUCUUUUGGCGGGGACGAUGAUGACGGUACCCGCAGAAUAAGCCCCGGCUAACUUCGUGCCAGCAGCCGCGGUAAUACGAAGGGGGCUAGCGUUGUUCGGAAUUACUGGGCGUAAAGGGCGCGUAGGCGGUCCUGAUCGUCGGAUGUGAAAGGCCUGGGCUCAACCUGGGAACUGCAUCCGAUACGGCGGGACUGGAGUGUGGGAGAGGUUGGUGGAAUUCCCAGUGUAGAGGUGAAAUUCGUAGAUAUUGGGAAGAACACCGGUGGCGAAGGCGGCCAACUGGACCACAACUGACGCUGAGGCGCGAAAGCGUGGGGAGCAAACAGGAUUAGAUACCCUAGUAGUCC
RNAcentral lists this ribosomal RNA (748 nucleotides) under uncultured bacterium. RNAcentral's name for it is "bacterial SSU rRNA". It matches the Rfam family "Bacterial small subunit ribosomal RNA", at positions 8 to 796 of the family's 1533-position model. The record is from RNAcentral.